GUGCUUGCUUUGGUAGCACCUAUACUAAAAUUGGAACAAUACAGAGAAGGUUAGCAUGGCCCUUACACAAGGAUGACAUGCAGAUUUGUGAAGCGUUCCGUAUUUUU
Small nuclear RNA from Pipistrellus kuhlii (Kuhl's pipistrelle), 107 nucleotides. NCBI's taxonomy places the organism in Eukaryota, Metazoa, Chordata, Mammalia, Chiroptera, Vespertilionidae. The record is from RefSeq and is a predicted model, not a curated record.